RNAcentral lists this ribosomal RNA (253 nucleotides) under uncultured bacterium. RNAcentral's name for it is "partial 16S ribosomal RNA". It matches the Rfam family "Bacterial small subunit ribosomal RNA", at positions 524 to 776 of the family's 1533-position model. The record is from RNAcentral.
UACGUAGGGGCCUAGCGUUGUCCGGAUUUAUUGGGCGUAAAGAGCUCGUAGGCGGCUUGUCACGUCGGGUGUGAAAGCCCGGGGCUUAACCCCGGGUCUGCAUUCGAUACGGGCUGGCUGGAGUGUGGUAGGGGAGAUCGGAAUUCCUGGUGUAGCGGUGAAAUGCGCAGAUAUCAGGAGGAACACCGGUGGCGAAGGCGGAUCUCUGGGCCAUUACUGACGCUGAGGAGCGAAAGCGUGGGGAGCGAACAGG